UACAGAGGGUGCAAGCGUUAAUCGGAAUUACUGGGCGUAAAGCGCGCGUAGGUGGUUUGUUAAGUUGAAUGUGAAAUCCCCGGGCUCAACCUGGGAACUGCAUCCAAAACUGGCAAGCUAGAGUAUGGUAGAGGGUGGUGGAAUUUCCUGUGUAGCGGUGAAAUGCGUAGAUAUAGGAAGGAACACCAGUGGCGAAGGCGACCACCUGGACUGAUACUGACACUGAGGUGCGAAAGCGUGGGGAGCAAAC
Molecule: ribosomal RNA, 250 nt
Filed under: uncultured bacterium
Lineage: Bacteria
Description: partial 16S ribosomal RNA
Rfam family: Bacterial small subunit ribosomal RNA
Source: RNAcentral